GAUGAACGCUGGCGGCGUGCCUAAUACAUGCAAGUCGAGCGAACGGACGAGAAGCUUGCUUCUCUGAUGUUAGCGGCGGACGGGUGAGUAACACGUGGAUAACCUACCUAUAGGACUGGGAUAACUUCGGGAAACCGGAGCUAAUACCGGAUAAUAUUUUGAACCGCAUGGUUCAAAAGUGAAAGACGGUCUUGCUGUCACUUAUAGAUGGAUCCGCGCUGCAUUAGCUAGUUGGUAAGGUAACGGCUUACCAAGGCAACGUUGCAUAGCCGACCUGAGAGGGUGAUCGGCCACACUGGAACUGAGACACGGUCCAGACUCCUACGGGAGGCAGCAGUAGGGAAUCUUCCGCAAUGGGCGAAAGCCUGACGGAGCAACGCCGCGUGAGCGAUGGAGGUCUUCGGAUCGUAAAACUCUGUUAUUAGGGAAGAACAUAUGUGUAAGUAACUGUGCACAUCUUGACGGUACCUAAUCAGAAAGCCACGGCUAACUACGUG
RNAcentral lists this ribosomal RNA (497 nucleotides) under uncultured bacterium. RNAcentral's name for it is "partial 16S ribosomal RNA". It matches the Rfam family "Bacterial small subunit ribosomal RNA", at positions 28 to 507 of the family's 1533-position model. The record is from RNAcentral.